GGAAAUUUACAUUCCAAAUUUUUAUUAUAAAUAUUAACAUUAAAAAAUCAUAUCUUUGAUACAGAAGUUAAAAAAAAUAAAUAAAACUACAUAUUAACAUUAAACAUACAGUACUUCACAAAGAGUACGAACAUAAAGCAAAUAUUAAAAAUAAACAAUCUAUAUCAAAGCAGAUAUGAGAGAAAAAACUAAAAAUAACAAAUGCAAUAAAUUUUAAUCCCACUUUGGUGUCAAUGUGUGAAAAUGCUAAAUGAGUAAACUCUUGGUCUCUUUAACUUUCAUCAUUUUGAUUUCACAAAAAUGCCCAGAAAUAAAUCAUAUCACAAGAUUUGCGUUUGUAAAUUAAGACUAUUAAAAUGAAAGAGGUUAAUCAACAAAUGAGUUAACAUAAUUCAGGAUGCAAUAGAUUCACAUAUAUCAUAUAUUAAUAACAUGAGAUAAUAAUAUUAAAAUAUUUUAUAACAACAAGUAAGUAUGGCACAUCAACUAUUAUUUCUUUUUCCUCAUAUCAUUUAAUCUUCAAUUAUUUAUAUAUUCCAUAAUUUUGAUUAGCUGACACCAAUUGUAUUGAUUUUAAGAUGGUUUUAUUGUUCAAUAUAAAGCAACACCAAUAAGUAAAUUCAAUGAAUUAUCAACAACAAUAUGAAGGAAUGUGAAAGAGAAGACGAAUGUUAAAUAGAAAUCAAAUAAUAACUUUUAUUAAACUUUGUAAUUCCUUUUUAACUGUUAUUAUAAGAAUUUUUAUAUUUUUUAUUACAGUGUUCUUUAAUCAUUGACCAUACACAUAUUUUUUUGUAUAAAGCAUUCAUUUGGUUCUAACGAAAUGUUAAUUCAGUCCCAUCUUUACAGUUUAUAUAAUAAAUCAAAUCUUUGCAACCUAAACUACACUAAAUAAUUAAAGCUUUAUAACAUUGUUGACCUUUGGUCAUCUAUGUGUAUUUUGAAGCAAUGAUGUAAUAUCCAUGACGUCAUUGUGAAGUAAUAAUUAUGGCAAAAGUAAAUUGAAUUUCUUUAUCUGAAAAAAAUAAAUAAAAAUAAGAUGUGGUAUGAUUGCAAUGAGACAACUAUCCAACAGAGUCCAUAUGAAGUGGAUUUAUGAAACAAAAAGUCACUGUUCAGCCUUCGACAAUGAGCAAAACCCAUAGUAUAUAUAUAUAAUCAGCAAAUAAAAUGCCCUGACAUGACAAAUUGUUAAAUAAUUCAUAAGAAACCAUAUGCUCCGCAGGGUGCAGCUUUAUACGACCGCAGAGGUCGAACCCUGAAGAGUUGGGGGAAGUAUGGACACAACAUUUAACUUGACACAGCUCUGAAUUUGGAUUCUGAUUAAAUAGUUGACACAACAUAGGUUUCUGACACAGAAUGAAUGUGGUCUAAGAACUUAAAUUGGACAUUACUUAUUAUGGUCAAUUAUCCAAAAUUUAAAUACAUGGUUAUAUUCAGCAUAUCAUAGAACCUCAAGAAUUCAAUUUUUGAUGAAAUCAAAUAAUGUUCAAUUUUAGACCCUUUAGACCUCAAUGUGGACCAAUUUGAUAAACCGGGCCCAAAAAUCUAAAUACAUGGUAAGAUUCAGCAUAUUGAAGAACCCCAUAUAUUUAAUUUUUGUUGAAAUCAAACAAAGUUAAAUUUUGGACCCCGAUAUGGACCAACUUGAAAACUGGGCCCAUAAUCAAAAAUCAAAGUACAUGUUUAGAUUCAGCAUAUCAAAGAACCCCAAGAAUUCAAUUUUUGUUAAAAUCAAACUUAGUUUAAUUUUGGACCCUUUGGACCUUAAUGUAGACCAAUUUGAAAACAGGUCCAACCAGGUGCUCCGCAGGGCGCAGUUUAGACCGAGAGUCGAAACCUGAAACAGUUGGGGCAAGUAUGACAAAACAUUCAAGCGUGAUACAGCUCUGAAUUUGGAUUGUGAUCAAAUUUUCACAUUACAUGGGUUUUUUUUACACAAAACAAAUGU
This 1951-nucleotide long non-coding RNA is filed under the name Mytilus galloprovincialis (Mediterranean mussel). The record is from RNAcentral. Lineage: Eukaryota; Metazoa; Mollusca; Bivalvia; Mytilida; Mytilidae.